GGGGAUUUAGCUCAGUGGUUAGAGCGCUUGCCUAGCAAGCGCAAGGCCCUGGGUUCAGUCCCCA
Non-coding RNA from Rattus norvegicus (Norway rat), 64 nucleotides. The record is from Rfam. Lineage: Eukaryota; Metazoa; Chordata; Mammalia; Rodentia; Muridae.